GAUGAACGCUGGCGGCGUGCCUAAAACAUGCAAGUCGAGCGGUAAGGCCUCUUCGGAGGUACACGAGCGGCGGACGGGUGAGUAACACGUGGGAAUCUACCCCAAACUGAGGGAUAAGCACCGGAAAUGGUGUCUAAUACCGCAUAUGGUCUUCGGAUUAAAGCUUCGGCGGUUUGGGAAGAGCCCGCGUAGGAUUAGCUAGUUGGUGAGGUAAAGGCUUACCAAGGCGACGAUCUUUAGCUGGUUUGAGAGGAUGAUCAGCCACACUGGAACUGAGACACGGUCCAGACUCCUACGGGAGGCAGCAGUUAGGAAUUUUCCACAAUGGGCGCAAGCCUGAUGGAGCAACGCCGCGUGCAGGAUGAAGGUUUUCGGAUUGUAAACUGCUUUUAUGUGCGAAGAAUAUGACGGUAACACAUGAAUAAGGAUCGGCUAACUCCGUGCCAGCCGCCGCCGUAA
This 459-nucleotide ribosomal RNA is filed under the name uncultured bacterium. RNAcentral describes it as "partial 16S ribosomal RNA". It matches the Rfam family "Bacterial small subunit ribosomal RNA", at positions 28 to 523 of the family's 1533-position model. The record is from RNAcentral.